AAGAGUAGCAAAACAAUUUUUUGUAACGUACAAUACUGUCACAGUAAGGAUCAAUCCUGAAAAGAUCCCUGAAGUCACUGAAGUGCAUCGCCAUGCAGUUAGCAGAAUGUGAUCUGUUACCCAGUGGCAUGAAUAAAGAUAUUCCCCAGCAAUGUAAACUAUCUGGGAAAUUGCAGCUUUACAGGCCUACAGCUGUGUCCUGCAGACAUCUUGUGCUGAGAUGAAGUUGCACAAAUUUUGGUGACCUUUAAAUGACUAUUCAUGGCUCCAGUGAUCAUUGCCGGGAGAUUCUGACACUGAGCUGGAUCUAUACACUGUAAUUAAUCCUACUGUAAUAUUCUUUCCUUGGUAUUUUUAUCCUGACUUUUUUUUUAAUAAAAAUUUAUGUAUGUCCAAUGUCUGCCUAACUUUUACAAAUGAUUUUAAUUUGCCUGUGUUGAAUUCUUUCCUCAUUGCAGAUGAAAACUUUCCAAG
Long non-coding RNA from Nothoprocta perdicaria, 474 nucleotides. RefSeq lists it as uncharacterized. The record is from RefSeq and is a predicted model, not a curated record. NCBI's taxonomy places the organism in Eukaryota, Metazoa, Chordata, Aves, Tinamiformes, Tinamidae. The transcript has 2 exons.